Gordionus sp. m RMFG-2023 is the source of this 584-nucleotide long non-coding RNA. RefSeq lists it as uncharacterized. Lineage: Eukaryota; Metazoa; Nematomorpha; Gordioida; Chordodea; Parachordodidae. The transcript has 3 exons. The record is from RefSeq and is a predicted model, not a curated record.
ACCACAAAAUUAUCACGUGGAAUCUGACAUGAUUACAAUGUAAACAAAAAUGGCGAAAAUUUUGUGAUAUUUGAAGAAAAAUUUUUAAAUUUUAAACCUAUGAAUGAAUAAAACUCUAAGAACGACUAUUCUUUAUAAGAUGGAGAUUUAAAAAAAAUAAUAACUUCGUGCAUUCUUCUUAACUUCUAUCGGUUGCGAGUUGCUACUAUAGUUAGGUGAUGGCUAAAUGUCGGCUAUUCUUCUCAAUGUUCAAGCGCAUAGCGGAGAAAAUCGAUAAUUCAAUGAAAUUGUUUUAAAAGGAUGACAAGAACCUUACCUCAAGAUUACUCGCUAAAUAUUAAGUCGUAUGAUUGCGUAUAAUAGCAAAAUAUUCGAAAAAUAUAUUAUAUUAUUAUUCUAUUACAUUUUGCUUUUUGUAAAUAUAAAAAUAUCACAAUUUAUUUGGACACUUGUUUUGUUCAAAAAAAAAAUGGUUAUAAUUCUUUAGGAAGAGAAAAAUAAUUAUUUUUUUGAAUACAUUAAAUAUAUUAUAUAGUAUAGAUUAUUGUUUACAGAUUCUCUUUUUUUUGUGUUAAAGGUUAUUU